Molecule: long non-coding RNA, 257 nt
Organism: Trifolium pratense (red clover)
Lineage: Eukaryota; Viridiplantae; Streptophyta; Magnoliopsida; Fabales; Fabaceae
Exons: 3
Source: RefSeq, a predicted model, not a curated record
CUCUAUCUAAAAUUUCUCCAACAUCUCUCUAAAAAUUCUUAACUCUAAAAAUUCUCCAACUUUUUAUCAUUUCACUCUUGUUUUUCUUCAUUUUGCAAGUGUUAUUUUGUCUGGCGAUUUGUACAUAGGAGUAUAAUGUAGACACCACUCUUCCUCAGCAUAAAAAUAUUCAUGGUUGGUUCGUCCGUUGUCAUGGUUGGGAGCUUAGUUUAAAUAACUCCAAGUCAGACACUACCCGGCACAACAAGUAAGUAAUA